UGGUAUUAUUAAGCAUGUUAAAUAAAAUGUUAUGUGGCCAGAUCUGUAGCAAGUAUAUGCACAAAUGAUCUCUUUCUAUUAAUUCAGUACCUCUUGUGAAGUAGAUAGUCUUAUACCCAUUUAGUAGAUGUGGAUACCGAGGGUCACAGAAGUUAAGAAACUUGCACAGUAUUACAGUCAGUAAGUGGCAGAGCCAGGAUUAUGGACCUCAGUCUGGCCAUGCUUAUAAUCACUGUUAUAAAUACUUUGCCAUAGCAUCUUAUCUAGUUUGGAUUUUUUUUUUUAGACUUUUGGUUGCAAUUUCAGUCUUGUGCCUCAAGUAGAAUUUUUAAAAAUAAAUUUAGAAAUUAAAUAAUAUUAAGAGGAAGGUGACAAUGUAACAGAAAAUGUGGAAUGUGCAAAGUGCCAGAUAUCUCCUUUUACUUGCCAAAGAUGCCUUGACACUAAAAUCCUAUUUAUGUGUAUACGCACUACUAUGUAUAAAAUAGAUAACCAACAAGGGCCUACUGUAUAGCACAAACUAUACUCAAUAGUUGGUAAUAAUUUAUAAUGAAUAUAAUCUGAAAAAUAAUAUAUAUACAUAUGUAUAGCUGAAUUACUUUGUUGUACACCUGAAACUAACACAGCUUUGUCAAUGGACUAUACUUCAAAAAAAAUCCUGUUUACAUACAUCAGUUUUGGUCAUGAGAAAUGAAGCUAAAUGAAAACCAUAGUGGUGAAAUCUCAUCCAUUUAAUAAGUAAACACUUCAUUAAACCAAUCUUAUUGCUGGGUUCAAGGGGAAUAAAUCCAGAUGGACUUAAAAUAUUUGAGUUAUAAAUUUUUUUUAUUUUUUCUUUCUUUUUUGUUUAUUUUUUGCUUUUUUAGGGCCACACCCUUGGCACAUGGAGGUUCCCAGGCUAGUGGUUGAAUUGGAGCUACGGCUGCAGGCCUAUGCCAUGGCCACAACAACGCAGGAUCCUAGCUGUGUCUGAGAUCUACACCACAGCUUAGGGCAACGCCAGAUCUUCAACCCACUGAGCAGGACCAGAGAUCGAACCUGCAACCCCAUGGUUACUAGUCAGAUUCUGCUGCACCCCACAACAGGAACUCCUUGAUUUAUUUUUCAGAGAAGUAUAGUUUUACUUAGGUAAAUAGUAUUUUCAUAGCAAAUGCUAUUAUUUAUAGCUCCUGCUGUGCAAUUAUAUGAUAAUAAUGUUUAUCUCUCACUUGUUCCUUACCCCUGCUGAAGGAUAUGGAAUUGUAAUGGAAUAGAUUGCUUAUACAUAGCCUCCAGUCAUUGCUCAUUGUUAAUUUCUUUGGAAAGACAAUAAUGAUAGAAUGAUCCUAAAUUCUGGACUCAAGGAUGUAUAUUACUGAGGUUUUAUAAUCCUUCAUUUCUCUGGAUUUUCCAUACUACUUUAAAAAAAAUUUUAAUAAUAUAUUUUAUUUAACCCAAUAUCUCCAAAAUAUUAUUACUUUAACAUGUGAUCAACAUAAAAAUUAUUAAUGAAUAGUUUACAUUUUUGUACUAAAUCUAGUGUGAACUUAAUCUUAUAGUACAUCUUUAUUUGGAUUAGCAUUCAUUUUUUAAAAGUUUAAAAAUUUUAUGAUUUUUUAAAAAGUGAAGUGUGGUUGAUUUACAGCUUAUGUUUCAGGUGUACAGCAAAGUUAUUCAGAGUAUUUUCCAUUAUAGGUUAUUAUAAGAUAUUGAAUUGGGUUCCCUGUGCUAUACAGUAGGUCCUUGUUUAUUUUCUAUAUAGUGGUGUGUGUCUGUUAAUCUUAAACUCCGAAUUUAUUCUUUCCUCCUCUCCCUUUCCCCUUUGGUAACCAUAAGUUUGUUUUCUAUGCCUGUGAAUCUAUUUCUGUUUUGUAAACAAGAUCAUUUGUAUCCUUUUUUUUUUAGAUUCCACAUAUAAGUGGUAUCAUAAAUAGUGUUUGUCUUUCUAUGUCUUACUCUCCACUUAGUAAUCUAACAAUGCUGCAAAUGACAUUAUUUCAUUCUUUGUUAUAGCUGAGUAACAUUCCAUUGUCUAUAUGUACCACAUCUUCUUUACCUGUUCAUCUGUUGAUAGACAUUUAGAUUGGUUCCAUGUCUUGUCUAUUAUAAAUGGUGCUGCUAUGAACACUGAGGUGCAUGUAUCUUUUCAAAUUAGAGUUUUCAUCUUUUCUUGGAUAUAUGUCCAGGAAUGAGAUUGCUAAAAUGUAUGGUAUAUCUAGUUUUUCAGGAACCUCCAUACUGUUCUUCAUAGUUCUUCAUCAAGUUACAUUCCCGCCAACAGUGUAGGAGGGUUCCCUUUUCUCCAGACUCUCUCCAGCGUUUCUUAUUUGUCAACUUUUUGCUGAUGGCCAUUUUGAAUGGUGAUAUCUCACUGUAGUUUUGAUUUGCAUUUCUCUAAUAAUUAGCAAUAUUGAGCAUCUUUUCAGGUGCUUGUUGACCAUCUGUCCCUACAACUUUUGAUCAUUGUCACCAACAAGCAACAAAAUGCUAAACUUGUCCCUUUGUUUUGCACAUGCUAACAAGUCAAUAAACAACAACAGCAAACAAACAAAAACCCCCUUGGGGUCAGUUCUUUGGGAUAAGAUUUUGGACAAAGUGGCCUGCAGUCAUCCAUAGCCUGGAUAAUUUGCCCCUGGACUCUAGAUUCUGUUCUGAAUGUACUUUUCAAAGUGUUCAGUUUGUUUUCUUCUACUCUGUCCAGUGAAGGAAACUCAGACUAUUGUUUAACAGUUUCUGCCUGGAACUAAGCUCAAAUGACCCAGGCUUUUCUGUCUUUUAUCCUGUACAUCAGAAUCAUAAUGCACCUCCACAAAAUGUUUGAGAGCUGUAAUUCAUCCUGGGGAGCUUAGGAUCAGUCACUUUAUGUGUAUGGUGGCAAGUGCGUCAGCCAAAAUUGAUAGGCAGCCUUCCAUGUCAGGAGCUUCCUUGCUGAAGAUGAGCUGUUGUUGCAUACACCUAAGUCCCAUCCCUAGGGACAGGUCAGUGCCAAGUCCAGACUCAUGGACAGAUAAUUAUUCUCAUAGUAAAGUAACUUCAAAGAAAGAAUGGAAUUCUGUGGCAGUGAGAUCACGGUAGAUCUGAGCGCAACUUUUGCCAUGUUUCAUUAGUUUUUCCCUGGAACCAUCCAGGAAGUGGCAUGCAUAAGGCUUUCUGGCUCACAGAUUUACUGUGCUUCUG
RNAcentral lists this long non-coding RNA (3156 nucleotides) under Sus scrofa (pig). Its description in RNAcentral is "lncRNA (ENSSSCG00000058345.1)". The record is from RNAcentral. Lineage: Eukaryota; Metazoa; Chordata; Mammalia; Artiodactyla; Suidae.